UUAAGCAGACAGACACGUGCCCACCUGCAGAAUGAAACUUCCACAGGCACAGAGCUGCCAUCAUGAUUCCUGUCUCCUCUCUACUGGAGCAGCAAAAGAGUUUUGACUGGGGCAUCACUGGAUGUUGAGGGGUUUUACGGUGUAUUCCUUAACACCUUUACUGAUGUGGCCUCUGCUUCUGUGACCCCAUGUUUCUAUUUCUUUCCAAUCACCAUGGAUUUAUUUAGCUCCAAAAUCUGCAAACCACUGAACAACAAAUUACUGAAGGUGAAUGCAGGAGGCCUACCAGUUAUGUGCCCCAACCCUAGGACAACAAUCUGAGAACUGUCAGCCCGUACUGGAUGGGGCCAACACACGGGUGCAAGGUAGUGAACCCCGGAGAAAACAGCGAGGGAGAGACAAGCGGCAGAGGCUUCGGAGCAGGGUGACCUCCCCGAGGGCCAGGACAUGGGGGCCAGGACACGGCCGCCAGCUGGGGCCUCC
This is a long non-coding RNA of Columba livia (rock pigeon), 483 nucleotides long. RefSeq lists it as uncharacterized. NCBI's taxonomy places the organism in Eukaryota, Metazoa, Chordata, Aves, Columbiformes, Columbidae. The transcript is spliced from 3 exons. The record is from RefSeq and is a predicted model, not a curated record.